Molecule: ribosomal RNA, 429 nt
Filed under: Bacteroidota bacterium
Lineage: Bacteria; Pseudomonadati; Bacteroidota
Description: Bacteroidetes bacterium partial 16S ribosomal RNA
Rfam family: Bacterial small subunit ribosomal RNA
Source: RNAcentral
UAGGGAAUCUUCGGCAAUGGGGGGAACCCUGACCGAGCAACGCCGCGUGAGUGAAGAAGGUUUUCGGAUCGUAAAGCUCUGUUGUUAAGGAAGAACGAGUGUGAGAAUGGAAAGUUCAUACUGUGACGGUACUUAACCAGAAAGGGACGGCUAACUACGUGCCAGCAGCCGCGGUAAUACGUAGGUCCCGAGCGUUGUCCGGAUUUAUUGGGCGUAAAGCGAGCGCAGGCGGUUAGAUAAGUCUGAAGUUAAAGGCAGUGGCUCAACCAUUGUAGGCUUUGGAAACUGUUUAACUUGAGUGCAGAAGGGGAGAGUGGAAUUCCAUGUGUAACGGUGAAAUGCGUAGAUAUAUGGAGGAACACCGGUGGCGAAAGCGGCUCUCGGGUCUGUAACUGACGCUGAGGCUCGAAAGCGUGGGGAGCGAACAGG